RNAcentral lists this ribosomal RNA (1505 nucleotides) under candidate division WOR-1 bacterium RIFOXYA12_FULL_43_27. Its description in RNAcentral is "bacterial SSU rRNA". It matches the Rfam family "Bacterial small subunit ribosomal RNA". The record is from RNAcentral. RNAcentral also lists the same sequence under 2 other names. Lineage: Bacteria; Bacillati.
ACUGAGAGUUUGAUCUUGGCUCAGGAUGAACGCUGGCGGCGUGCCUAACACAUGCAAGUCAAACGGGUGUAGCAAUACACUAGUGGCGGACGGGUGAGUAACACGUAAGCGACCUACCCAUAAGACUGGCAUAACCUGCCGAAAGGUGGGCUAAUUCCAGAUAGUAUUCCAACGCAAGUUGGAAUUAAAUCCCGCAAGGGGCUUGUGGAUGGGCUUGCGUCCUAUCAGCUAGUUGGUGAGGUAACGGCUCACCAAGGCAAAGACGGGUAGCUGGUCUGAGAGGACGACCAGUCACACUGGAACUGAGAUACGGUCCAGACUCCUACGGGAGGCAGCAGUGAGGAAUUUUCCACAAUGGGCGAAAGCCUGAUGGAGCGACGCCGUGUGAGCGAUGAAGUCUUUCGGGAUGUAAAGCUCUGUCAGAGGGGACGAUAUUGACGGUACCCUCAGAGGAAGCCCCGGCUAACUACGUGCCAGCAGCCGCGGUAAUACGUAGGGGGCGAGCGUUAUCCGGAAUUACUGGGCGUAAAGCGCGCGUAGGCGGUGUGAUAAGUCGGGUGUAAAAGGUUAAAGCUCAACUUUAAUAUGCAUUCGAUACUGUCACGCUAGAGAGAUGCAGAGGAAAGCGGAACUUACGGUGUAGCGGUGAAAUGCGUAGAUAUCGUAAGGAACACCAAUGGCGAAGGCAGCUUUCUGGGCAUUUUCUGACGCUCAAGUGCGAAAGCUAGGGGAGCAAACGGGAUUAGAUACCCCGGUAGUCCUAGCCCUAAACGAUGGUCAUUAGGUGUUUGUGGUAUCGACCCCACGAGUGCCGCAGCUAACGCGUUAAAUGACCCGCCUGGGGAGUACAGCCGCAAGGUUAAAACUCAAAAGAAUUGACGGGGGCCCGCACAAGCGGUGGAGCAUGUGGUUCAAUUCGAUGCUACGCGAACAACCUUACCUGGGUUUGACAUGCUGGUAGUAAGAUUCUGAAAGGAUGAUGAUCCCGAGCAAUCGGGAAGCCAGCACAGGUGCUGCAUGGCUGUCGUCAGCUCGUGUCGUGAGAUGUUGGGUUAAGUCCCGCAACGAGCGUAACCCUUAUUGCCAGUUGUCACGGUGAAAGCCGUGACCCUCUGGCGAAACUGCCUCGGAUAACGGGGAGGAAGGUGGGGAUGAGGUCAAGUCAUCAUGGCCCUUAUGCCCAGGGCAACACACGUGCUACAAUGGUACAUACAAAGGGGAGCAAUACGGCGACGUGGAGCUAAUCCCAAAAAGUGUACCUCAGUUCGGAUUGAAGGCUGCAAUUCGCCUCCAUGAAGCUGGAAUCGCUAGUAACUGCAGAUCAGCGUGCUGCGGUGAAUACGUUCUCGGGCCUUGUACACACCGCCCGUCACACCAUGAGAGUCAGGAACGCCCAAAGCUUCCCCGAUUUAUCGGGGGAAUUAAGGCGGUACUGAUGAUUGGGGUGAAGUCGUAACAAGGUAGCCGUACCGGAAGGUGUGGCUGGAUCACCUCCUUUCUAAGGA